RNAcentral lists this ribosomal RNA (253 nucleotides) under uncultured bacterium. RNAcentral's name for it is "partial 16S ribosomal RNA". It matches the Rfam family "Bacterial small subunit ribosomal RNA", at positions 524 to 776 of the family's 1533-position model. The record is from RNAcentral.
UACGGAGGGUGCAAGCGUUAAUCGGAAUUACUGGGCGUAAAGCGCACGCAGGUGGCUGAGUCAGUCGAUUGUGAAAGCCCUGGGCUUAACCUGGGAAUUGCAUUCGAGACUGAAUAGCUAGGGUACGGUAGAGGGAAGUGGAAUUUCCGGUGUAGCGGUGAAAUGCGUAGAUAUCGGAAGGAACAUCAGUGGCGAAAGCGACUUCCUGGACCAGUACCGACGUUCAGGCACGAAAGCGUGGGGAGCAAACAGG